GGGGCUGAUAUGGAUUAGACAGCAGGUCGAGUUGGAGUGUAAGCAUGCCGAGCGUUGUGGAAGUGGCUCGAUAAUCCCAAGUCACACGCCAAUUAAAUGGCAACAAUUCAAACUACGCACUUGCAGCUUAAUCGGAAAGAUUAGGUUCGUGCUGUUUCCCGGAGAAACUCCGCCCGAUGGUGUCUCCGAUGAAACAUCGCCAAAUGUCGGGAUAAGCGCUGUAAUACCUCGGUGCAGCGAUGAAAACCUUAGAGGGGUAGGUGCAAGAUUGGGUGGCCUUUUCCCUGUUGAGUACCGAAUUUUCAAUAAAAGGAUAAGCAUGUAGAAAGCAUUUUAGCUGCCUGUUUGGACGAGGGUUCAAAUCCCUCCAGCUCCACAA
This 379-nucleotide transfer-messenger RNA is filed under the name Bacteroidales bacterium. It matches the Rfam family "transfer-messenger RNA". Rfam says of the family: Bacterial tmRNA, also known as 10Sa RNA or SsrA, is named for its dual tRNA and mRNA-like properties. Its role is to liberate the mRNA from a stalled ribosome. The record is from RNAcentral. Lineage: Bacteria; Pseudomonadati; Bacteroidota; Bacteroidia; Bacteroidales.